RNAcentral lists this long non-coding RNA (2918 nucleotides) under Nicotiana benthamiana. Its description in RNAcentral is "long non-coding RNA (NBEN_LNC031614)". Lineage: Eukaryota; Viridiplantae; Streptophyta; Magnoliopsida; Solanales; Solanaceae. The record is from RNAcentral.
AAUUAAAAUGCAUAUACUUGCAAUAAAUUUCAAAAAAUGAAAAAAUCUCGUGUGUGUACAUCAACAAAUAAAGAAAAUUGCUUCAAGGUGCAUGCUAACAAUUAACUUUACAAAAUCAAACAUAAUUAUUAUUGUAUCAGAAAUAACUAAAAUAGUAAGUAUCCAAGGUCUUCACCAUUAAACUCCAACAGAUCAAAUUAUCUUUUGGCUAUCAUGUCCAAUUUGCUCACAAGAACUUUCCUACACAUUCAAAAUAAAAUUAGUAUUUAGAUAGUAACUAAUAACAUGCAAGUGCAGAUUUAUAGCAAUGUUGCAAAAAUAAUUCCCUUGAAAAUUUAAAUAUCAAGCACUAUUCUAAGAACAAAUAUCUAUUAUAGAUAAAAGGAUUAAGUUGUCCAAGCUAGUUAGGGUAGGUUGUACUACUACUUAAAUAUUUAUCAGCAUUUCAAUUAGUUGUAUUUUUGCAUUGUCAUUAGCACUUUCUUUGUACUUCUUUGUAUUUUGGCAUUGUCAUUAGCACUUUCAACUUACUUUUUAUUUCUCCCAACCUAACUUGACUAGAUUCCUUUAUUUCAGUAAGUACUUGAAUCUCUUUUCUUAAAAGGAAAAGGGUCAAAACUGCCCCUAACGUAUUGCUCCAUGUUAAAAAUGUCUUCCGUUAACCUAUUUUGAAGAAAAUGCCCCUACCGUUAAAAAUGUGGCAUAUUUGUGCCCCUAAGUCUAACAACUGACUAUACUUAUAUUUNNNNNNNNNNNNNNNNNNNNNNNNNNNNNNCGUUAACCUAUUUUGAAGAAAAUGCCCCUACCGUUAAAAAUGUGGCAUAUUUGUGCCCCUAAGUCUAACAACUGGCUGUACUUAUAUUUAAAACGGUAGGGGCAUUUUUUUCAAAAUAGGUUAACGGUAGGAAUAUUUUUAAACUGGAGGCAAUACGUUAGGGGCACAAAUAUGACGCAUUUUUAACGGUAGGGGCAUUUUCUUCAAAAUAGGUUAACAGAUGACAUUUUUAAACUGGCGUCAAUACGUUAGGGGCAGUUCUGACCCUUUUCCGUUUCUUAAAUGGUAAUAUUACUCUUUCUCACAUUAAUAGAUGAGUUGCUUCUUUAUUUCUCCCAAUUCAACUUGAUCAUUUUCACUCAACAUUAGCUUAUCACAACACAACGAUAUGGUAUCUUAACAUGUUUUCCCAUAGCUAUUAAGUUUCAAUGAAUAACAAACUAUAUCUCUAAGUACUUCUCUAUAUAAUUCAAAAUAAAUGCCGUCUAACCCUUCAUUCAAACAAGGAAAACAUGCAUAGUGUACCAUGAUUACAUAAAACAAUCAAAAGAUACCUUUGUAAAAACCGGAAUUCACUACUUCCAAAUAAAAAUAGCAGCAUUAAAAGAUGCCAAAACUGUUCAUAUGUACCAGCACCGAGCAUGAUAUGCAUAAAAAGAUGAAAAUUGAAGAUAAUACAGUACAUAAUACAAAUUAUAAAACUGAUAUACCCACAUACUAUAUGCAUUUUCAAGGGUUAGAUGCCACAAAUGACUAGAACACAUUAUUUUCCAUGUACAAAAGCAUACACUACUUUAAAAUGCCAACAACUACAAUAUUAUCAUAUAUAAAUAUGCGAUAGACAUAUAAAGUAGGAAAAUAUUUAAUAGAAAGAAAUCUAUAUAUGAUACAGCAUUGAGAUAAAAUGUAAUCUUUAUAUUGUAAUGAUUCAAGUAACAAAAUCUAUGGACUAUAAUCAUGCUGUAUUGGCCUUUCUAUUUUCUUGUCAUCUAGACAUCUAGUACCUUCUCUCUAGAAUUGAAUAUGCUACUUGGUCCUAAAACAAACAUAUUAGAAUUUCUUUCUGUUACCAGAAUAUUUAUAUAUUCUUUUUAUUGCCAGAAUAUUUUGAAAUUCUUCAAUUACUUGUCUAAUAUGUCUCUAUUACUUCCUUUUGUUUAACUAUUGUAUAUUGAUAGGCAAAUUCUGUAAGUGAACUUCUUUUUUGACAGGAAAGUUCAUUUCAGUCAACCAUAUUGUUUUCUCAAUUUUCCUUAAGUAAGAAGUCAACAGAACAAAUGUUUUAAAUGCAUAUAAUUAUAUUUCACAAGAUAUAAUUCUUCCAAUAUAAUUUCCUAAUAUUCUAACAAUAAAAUAUGUAUCUCGAAGCAAACUCAAACAUAAGAAGUUAAAAAUUCAAUGACCAAUUUAUCACCAAUACAGAUUUUUUACAUGUAAUAGUACCAUUAGAGGAUGUUAGUAACCUAAAAGGAAUUUACAAUACUCAACUAUAAAGUGGUCCAACUUGCACAUAACAGAUUCAAGAAAAUAUUUGAUUAUAAAUUACUCAUAUCAGUAAAAGCUCGAAAAUCUUAAAUACAUUUAACAUAGCAGUCUCACAUCUUUGAAAUCUUUCGCUCACUCUACCCAGAUUACAAUCAAUUAGUCAAGUCUGAAAUAAAGAUCAAUAUGGUUUAAGGAAUAAUGCCUUUCUAUUCCUUAAACAACCAAAAUAAGAGCAAACAAACAAGUCCCAAAAAACUUUGUGAUGAUUCAAAAAACAGAAAGGUUGAGUUCCAACAAGAAAAAGGGAAAGCUUAUAGGGUUUAACAGUAUUGAUUAAGAUGAUUCAGAAAACAGAAAGGUUGAGUUCCAAAAAGAAAAAAGGAAAGCUUAUAGGGUUUAACAGUAUUGAUUACCUUUGCGGAAUCGAAGCCUUGAACUUGCGGGGCCCUGCAUCCUUGUGGAGAUAAAACUGCUACAAGGCUGAAGAAACUUACAGAGGUGGUGUCGAUGGGGAUUUCAGAAUUUGGUGGAGGUGUCGGAGACUCGAAGCGACAGACCUAAGGAAUGAUUUCAAAAGGAUGGCCCUAAUACUUUAUUUGUUCAUUCAAAAUGGAAAAAAUAUUUGAAUAUUUCACUAAAAGAAAUAAGGGGGAAAUUU